UGACAGCUUUGGAUCUAGUUUCAUCCUGU
RNAcentral lists this non-coding RNA (29 nucleotides) under Rattus norvegicus (Norway rat). Lineage: Eukaryota; Metazoa; Chordata; Mammalia; Rodentia; Muridae. The record is from RNAcentral.